GAUGAACGCUGACAGAAUGCUUAACACAUGCAAGUCCACUUGAACUUCGGUUUGGGUGGCGGACGGGUGAGUAACGCGUAAAGAACUUGCCUCACAGCUAGGGACAACAUUUGGAAACGAAUGCUAAUACCGGAAAUUAGGAUUUUAGGGCAUCCUAGAAUAAUGAAAGCUAUAUGCGCUGUGAGAGAGCUUUGCGUCCCAUUAGCUAGUUGGAGAGGUAACGGCUCACCAAGGCGAUGAUGGGUAGCCGGCCUGAGAGGGUGAACAGCCACAAGGGGACUGAGACACGGCCCUUACUCCUACGGGAGGCAGCAGUGGGGAAUAUUGGACAAUGGACCAAGAGUCUGAUCCAGCAAUUCUGUGUGCACGAUGAAGUUUUUCGGAAUGUAAAGUGCUUUCAGUUGGGAAGAAAAAAAUGACGGUACCAACAGAAGAAGUGACGGCUAAAUACGUG
Molecule: ribosomal RNA, 454 nt
Filed under: uncultured bacterium
Lineage: Bacteria
Description: partial 16S ribosomal RNA
Rfam family: Bacterial small subunit ribosomal RNA
Source: RNAcentral